This 73-nucleotide transfer RNA is filed under the name Meleagris gallopavo (turkey). Its description in RNAcentral is "tRNA-Trp (CCA) (tRNA-Trp-CCA-4-1)". It matches the Rfam family "tRNA". Rfam says of the family: Transfer RNA (tRNA) molecules are approximately 80 nucleotides in length. Their secondary structure includes four short double-helical elements and three loops (D, anti-codon, and T loops). Further hydrogen bonds mediate the characteristic L-shaped molecular structure. tRNAs have two regions of fundamental functional importance: the anti-codon, which is responsible for specific mRNA codon recognition, and the 3' end, to which the tRNAs corresponding amino acid is attached (by aminoacyl-tRNA synthetases). tRNAs cope with the degeneracy of the genetic code in two manners: having more than one tRNA (with a specific anti-codon) for a particular amino acid; and 'wobble' base-pairing, i.e. permitting non-standard base-pairing at the 3rd anti-codon position. The record is from Rfam by way of RNAcentral. Lineage: Eukaryota; Metazoa; Chordata; Aves; Galliformes; Phasianidae.
GGGUCAGUAGCUCAAUUGGCAGAGCAGCGGUCUCCAAAACCGCAGGUUGUAGGUUCGAGUCCUACCUGGCCCG